UAGGUUUUUGGCCUUGGGCGAAAGCCUGAUCCCCAAUGCCGUGUGUGUGAAGAAGGCCUUCGGGUUGUAAAGCACUUUUGUCCGGAAAGAAAUCCUUUGGGUUAAUACCUCGGGGGAUGACGGUACCGGAAGAAUAAGCACCGGCUAACUACGUGCCAGCAGCCGCGGUAAUACGUAGGGUGCAAGCGUUAAUCGGAAUUACUGGGCGUAAAGCGUGCGCAGGCGGUUUUGUAAGACGGAUGUGAAAUCCCCGGGCUUAACCUGGGAACUGCAUUCGUGACUGCAAGGCUAGAGUAUGGCAGAGGGGGGUAGAAUUCCACGUGUAGCAGUGAAAUGCGUAGAGAUGUGGAGGAAUACCGAUGGCGAAGGCAGCCCCCUGGGCCAAUACUGACGCUCAUGCACGAAAGCGU
Molecule: ribosomal RNA, 410 nt
Filed under: uncultured bacterium
Lineage: Bacteria
Description: bacterial SSU rRNA
Rfam family: Bacterial small subunit ribosomal RNA
Source: RNAcentral